This 57-nucleotide small RNA is filed under the name Staphylococcus aureus. RNAcentral describes it as "HMPRFS0000_0048". The record is from RNAcentral. Lineage: Bacteria; Bacillati; Bacillota; Bacilli; Caryophanales; Staphylococcaceae.
UUACAGACAAUGCAGAUAAAAUGGUGCAUUUGUCUCAAUAGAAAGUUAGAGGUGAGU